Molecule: long non-coding RNA, 230 nt
Filed under: Lathyrus oleraceus (garden pea)
Lineage: Eukaryota; Viridiplantae; Streptophyta; Magnoliopsida; Fabales; Fabaceae
Description: Pisum sativum (pea) long non-coding RNA (PSAT_LNC025032)
Source: RNAcentral
AAGUUAAGGAUAGGUUGUAGAGACUUGGGAAAACCCCCAAAAUAUUAGUAUGGUCUUAACACCGCAAGUCUCCUAAUUAUAGAAAUCAAUUUGGAUACUUGUUAUGCCAUGGCCUUGAAACCUCACCCCUAAAUGAGUCUUUAAGUAGUUUAUCUUAACAGUCAACACCAUCUGAAUUACCACUGAGUAAGCGGAUCGAUGCAAAUAGGUGAAUGAUCCCGUGCUAAAAA